ACGAACGCUGGCGGCAGGCUUAACACAUGCAAGUCGAACGAACGUAGCAAUACGUUAGUGGCGCACGGGUGAGUAACGCGUGGAUAUCUGCCUUUUGGUUCGGGAUAACCUUGGGAAACUAGGGCUAAUACCGAAUGGUUCCUACGGGAUAAAGAUUUAUCGCCAAAAGAUGAGUCCGCGUCCGAUUAGCUAGUUGGUGAGGUAAUGGCUCACCAAGGCGACGAUCGGUAGCUGGUCUGAGAGGACGAUCAGCCACACUGGGACUGAGACACGGCCCAGACUCCUACGGGAGGCAGCAGUGGGGAAUAUUGGACAAUGGGAGCAACCCUGAUCCAGCCAUGCCGCGUGAGUGAUGAAGGCCUUCGGGUUGUAAAGCUCUUUUGGCGAAAACGAUGAUGACGGUACCCGCAGAAUAAGCCCCGGCUAACUUCGU
This 433-nucleotide ribosomal RNA is filed under the name uncultured bacterium. Its description in RNAcentral is "bacterial SSU rRNA". It matches the Rfam family "Bacterial small subunit ribosomal RNA", at positions 29 to 506 of the family's 1533-position model. The record is from RNAcentral.